Molecule: ribosomal RNA, 344 nt
Filed under: uncultured fungus
Lineage: Eukaryota; Fungi
Description: SSU rRNA
Rfam family: Eukaryotic small subunit ribosomal RNA
Source: RNAcentral
AUGCUUGUCUCAAAGAUUAAGCCAUGCAUGUCUAAGUAUAAACAACUCUAUACUGUGAAACUGCGAAUGGCUCAUUAAAUCAGUUAUAGUUUAUUUGAUAAUACCUACUACUUGGAUAACCGUAGUAAUUCUAGAGCUAAUACAUGCGAAAAACCUCGACUUCUGGAAGAGGUGUAUUUAUUAGAUACAGAACCAAUGCGGGGCAACCCGGUACCUUGGUGAUUCAUAAUAACUUCGCGAAUCGAAUGGCUUUACGCCGUCGAUGAUUCAUUCAAAUUUCUGCCCUAUCAACUUUCGAUGGUAAGGUAUUGGCUUACCAUGGUGACAACGGGUAACGGGGAAUA